Molecule: long non-coding RNA, 490 nt
Filed under: Nicotiana benthamiana
Lineage: Eukaryota; Viridiplantae; Streptophyta; Magnoliopsida; Solanales; Solanaceae
Description: long non-coding RNA (NBEN_LNC014524)
Source: RNAcentral
UGCCCUGCAUACUCUUAGAUAUCUUAAAGGCACUUCUGAUCUUGGGGUUUUCCUCAAUAACACCCCUGACUUAGCCUUAACAGCCUACUGUGACAGUGACUGGGCCUCUUACCCAGACACUAGGAGGUCUGUUACUGGUUUUUGCAUAUUUUUAGGGGGCUCUCUGAUUGGCUGGAAAGCCAAGAAGCAGCCUGUGGUGUCCUUGUCUUCAGCUGAGGCUGAAUACAGAGCAAUGAGCAAAGUUGUUGGUGAGAUUACUUGUCUCACUCGACUGUUCUCUGAUUUUGGGGUUCCUCUCUCCUCUGUUGUACCUGUUUUCUGUGAUAAUCAGGCAGCCAUCCACGUUGCAAAAAAUCCUGUUAGCCUCCUGCCCAGACACUAGAAGGUCUGUUACUGGUUUUUGCAUAUUUUUAGGUGGUUCUCUGAUUGGCUGGAAAGCCAAGAAGCAACCUGUGGUGUCCUUGUCUUCAGCUGAGGCUGAAUACAGAGC